CCAGGAUAUUGAAGAUAUUUCAUUAAAAAAUAUUUUACAGUGGAACGUCAUCGUUUUCACACAUUUAAAAACACUCACCUGGAUAAUUGUACAUCCUUAUCGAAACUGCCAGAUUGAAUAAUCUGUACACAGUCGUUGAACACAUUCUUACAGCGCUGAAGAAAAUUCCUACGUGCCAUGUUACACUAAAUGCCAUAGACAUCAUAUGUCUAUCCUAAAUGCUGCAUAGAACAAAUUUGUUGGAAUUGUAUAAAGGAAUCUACCAACUAAACGUUUCCAAAAUGACGUAUGCAAAUAUGCGUACCGUCACAUGCCUUACAAUUUGUCCAAUCACAAACGUGACGUAGAGAAAAAACCGCCACUUUCAAGGCUGUGUUGGCGCCCAUAAGUGAAAGAAUGUCUGACCGUCAUAUUCAUUCCCGUUUAUCAGAUUUACGAGCAAGGUUUAACGAUCAAGUGGACCGACUGAUAAAUGAGAUGGAAGAGCCAUCUGGAGAAAAUCUCGUGGACCAAUUCCAAAUGUUUAGAAGUAGCAGAAGUACUGCUGGGCCUACCUGCAGACGAAAGAGAAGACAAGUCACGCAAACACGCAAUGUGACUUUCAGAAUGAUUCUGUUAAAAAAACAUGUUGAGCGAUAUACAUCACAUACUGGUAAAUACAGUUUACUAUUUGUUAAAUCACUUUUCCAGAUGAGUAAUGCAUAUUUUUAAAUGAAAAUGCAUGUUUAUGUAUAUUUUCCCAGAUGGAAGUCCACAAUGCAAAAUCAUCAUCCCAUUACACCUAAAUGAAAUUGAAUUUAGGGAGGUGCUGAGAGAAAAAUUCCCUGACCUCCCAGACAGAUUUGAAUUUUGCAAAGUAGCCGGAAACCGAAAGGUGAUACCAAUUCAGCUGUCAGUCUUGUGCCCAGCUGAAAUUAAAGCAAGCAAUGUGCUGGGGCGGUCAGCUCUAUACAUUAGACCACUGGUAGGCAACAUUUUUACCCUUACUUUACAAACAAAUUUGUACAUUUUCCUGUUCAUAUU
This 1023-nucleotide long non-coding RNA is filed under the name Sinocyclocheilus grahami. RNAcentral's name for it is "lncRNA (ENSSGRG00000005585.1)". Lineage: Eukaryota; Metazoa; Chordata; Actinopteri; Cypriniformes; Cyprinidae. The record is from RNAcentral.